UGGAGAAAGUCAUAGUGGUUAUGGGGUUGGCUUGAAACCAGUUAUAGAGGGUUCGAUUCCUUCCUUUCUUAG
Molecule: non-coding RNA, 72 nt
Organism: Propithecus coquereli (Coquerel's sifaka)
Lineage: Eukaryota; Metazoa; Chordata; Mammalia; Primates; Indriidae
Source: Ensembl